UCCCUCCCUCCCUCUUUCUGUGGACGGUCUGUAACCGAAGCAGUUCCUCAAAAGGAGAAAGAAAACCCUGCCACUUCUGAUCAGACAAAUCGAACAGCAGAGGAGUUGAGGCAUAACUUUCACCACAACGUGGAUUCAGCUUCAGAACUUCAUUAAGCAGAGAGCUUUGGCAGAGGCAGCGGACAACAUGGAGGUAAAAGAAGCAGCCUCAGUGAAACCCAUCGAUCAGUCCCCCUGUCUGUGUGCUGGUGAGCAGGACUAUGUUGACAGGAGGAAAAGGGUCGUUCUGGAGUCACUCAACAGCCUGGGAAUCAACUGUUCUGCAGACUGGGUUCCCCACAUCGCUCUGCUGCCAUCAGGUGGGGGUCAGAGGGCAGCCGUGGGUCUGAUGGGUUCCCUCUCUCCAGAUGGAAAGGAUG
Molecule: long non-coding RNA, 419 nt
Organism: Hippoglossus stenolepis (Pacific halibut)
Lineage: Eukaryota; Metazoa; Chordata; Actinopteri; Pleuronectiformes; Pleuronectidae
Exons: 4
Source: RefSeq, a predicted model, not a curated record